Molecule: ribosomal RNA, 633 nt
Filed under: Russula atroglauca
Lineage: Eukaryota; Fungi; Basidiomycota; Agaricomycetes; Russulales; Russulaceae
Description: eukaryotic LSU rRNA
Rfam family: 5.8S ribosomal RNA (bases 226-379)
Source: RNAcentral
GGUGACUGCGGAAGGAUCAUUAUAGUACAACGGAGGCACCUGGGCUGUCGCUGACCUUUGAAUAAAAAGGACGUGCACGCCCAGAGUGCUCUCUCACAUCCAUCUCACCCCUUUGUGCAUAAUCGCGUGGGACCCUCUCUUUUGGCUUGUUCCGGAGGGGGGUUCACGUUUUUACACGAACAACCCAUUAAUGCAUGUGUAGAAUGUCCUACUUAUUUUAAAUACAACUUUCAACAACGGAUCUCUUGGCUCUCGCAUCGAUGAAGAACGCAGCGAAAUGCGAUACGUAAUGUGAAUUGCAGAAUUCAGUGAAUCAUCGAAUCUUUGAACGCACCUUGCACCCCUUGGUAUUCCGAGGGGUGCACCCGUUUGAGUGUCGUGAACACCCUCAACCUUCUUGGUUUAUUGACCGGGGAAGGCUUGGACUUUGGAGGUUUUUGUUGCUGGCCUCAUUUGAAGCCAGCUCCUCCUAAAUGAAUUAGUGGGGUCCGCUGUGCAGAUCCUUGACGUGAUAAGUAUGCUUCUACGUCUUGGGGUUUCGUACCGUUCCCGCUUCCAACUCUGAGUUGUGACUCGACCUUAUAAACCUUGACCUCAAAUCGGGUGAGACUACCCGCUGAACUUAAGCAUAUC